Octopus sinensis (East Asian common octopus) is the source of this 248-nucleotide long non-coding RNA. RefSeq lists it as uncharacterized. The transcript has 2 exons. The record is from RefSeq and is a predicted model, not a curated record. Lineage: Eukaryota; Metazoa; Mollusca; Cephalopoda; Octopoda; Octopodidae.
UAGUAACUUGACUACACACAAACGUAUUCAUACAGGGGAGAAGCCUUAUCAAUGUGAUAUCUGUGGUAAAUCAUUCUCUGAUCGAAGUUACUUUAAAUUCUCACAAACAUAUCCAUACAGGGGAGAAGCCAUAUCUUUGUGGUGUCUGUGGCAAAUCAUGUUCUUCAGCCAGUAACUUCACCACACACAAGCGUAUUCAUACUGGGGAGAAGCCAUUUCAUUGUAACAUCUGUGGUAAAUCAUUUUCU